UAUUAGCGAGCGACAGAAAGGAGCUUGCUCCUUUGACGUUAGCGGCGGACGGGUGAGUAACACGUGGGCAACCUACCUUAUAGAUGGGAUAACUCCGGGAAACCGGGCUAAUACCCGAAUAAUCUUUUACCUCAUGGUGAAAUAUGAAAGACGGUCUAGCUUGCCGCUAUGGAUGGCCCUUCGGCAUUACUUACUUCGCGAGGUAACCGGCUCACCAGGCGACGAUUCGUAGCCCCUUAAACGGUGAUCUGCCACACUGGACUUACACGGCCAGACUCCUACGGGAGGAUGAGCCGGGAAUCUUCCAAUGGGCAACUUUGGGGGACCCCCCUGAGGGAAAAAAGGUUUGGCGUUAAACCUGUUUUAGGGAGAACCUUUUCACAAAUUGGCCUCUUACGGCCCCUUUUUGGAAACCCCGGUUUUUUCCGGGCAAAGGGGGGAAACCCGGGGGGGGUUUCCCGGAUUUUUUGGGGCCAAAGGCCCCCCCUGGGGGUUCCCCCAAACCCGGUCGGGGGGGGUUUAGGGGGGUUUUUUGGAAAAAUGGGGGAGCCCCAAUUUUUUUUGGGGGGGCCCCCGGGGGGUUUUUUUUGCCCCCCUUUUAAGGGGGGAAAAAAAUCCGGGGGCCAAAAUUUGGGGGGGGGCCCUUUUUUAAACGGGGCGGUUUUAAAAAA
RNAcentral lists this ribosomal RNA (671 nucleotides) under Lysinibacillus sphaericus. RNAcentral's name for it is "partial 16S ribosomal RNA". It matches the Rfam family "Bacterial small subunit ribosomal RNA", at positions 56 to 1025 of the family's 1533-position model. Lineage: Bacteria; Bacillati; Bacillota; Bacilli; Caryophanales; Bacillaceae. The record is from RNAcentral.